RNAcentral lists this ribosomal RNA (301 nucleotides) under uncultured bacterium. Its description in RNAcentral is "partial 16S ribosomal RNA". It matches the Rfam family "Bacterial small subunit ribosomal RNA", at positions 509 to 807 of the family's 1533-position model. The record is from RNAcentral.
CAGUCGCCGCGGGAAUACAGAGGGUGCAAGCGUUAAUCGGAAUUACUGGGCGUAAAGCGCGCGUAGGUGGUUCGCCAAGUUGGAUGUGAAAUCCCCGGGCUCAACCUGGGAACUGCAUCCAAAACUGGCGAGCUAGAGUAUGGUAGAGGGUGGUGGAAUUUCCUGUGUAGCGGUGAAAUGCGUAGAUAUAGGAAGGAACAUCAGUGGCGAAGGCGACCACCUGGACUGAUACUGACACUGAGGUGCGAAAGCGUGGGGAGCAAACAGGAUUAGAUACCCGCGUAGUCCCUGUCUCUUAUAC